Molecule: ribosomal RNA, 511 nt
Filed under: uncultured bacterium
Lineage: Bacteria
Description: bacterial SSU rRNA
Rfam family: Bacterial small subunit ribosomal RNA
Source: RNAcentral
UUAUGGCUCAGGAUGAACGCUAGCUACAGGCUUAACACAUGCAAGUCGAGGGGCAGCAUGGAGUUGCUGCAAACUCUGAUGGCGACCGGCGCACGGGUGAGUAACGCGUAUCCAACCUUCCCUAUAGUAGAGGAUAGCCCGGCGAAAGUCGGAUUAAUACUCUAUGUUUUCCGUUGCAGACAUCUAAGAUGGAACAAAGGCUUGCCGCUAUAGGAUGGGGAUGCGUCUGAUUAGGUAGUCGGGCGGGGUAACGGCCCACCGAGCCAUCGAUCAGUAGGGGUUCUGAGAGGAAGGUCCCCCACAUUGGAACUGAGACACGGUCCAAACUCCUACGGGAGGCAGCAGUGAGGAAUAUUGGUCAAUGGGCGAGAGCCUGAAUCAGCCAAGUAGCGUGCAGGAUGACGGCCCUAUGGGUUGUAAACUGCUUUUAUGCGGGGAUAAAGUUCACUACGUGUAGUGUUUUGUAGGUACCGCAUGAAUAAGGACCGGCUAAUUCCGUGCCAGCCGCUGC